GAUUAAGUUAUUAAGGGCGCACGGUGGAUGCCUUGGCACUAGAAGCCGAUGAAGGACGUUACUAACGACGAUAUGCUUUGGGGAGCUGUAAGUAAGCUUUGAUCCAGAGAUUUCCGAAUGGGGAAACCCAGCAUGAGUUAUGUCAUGUUAUCGAUAUGUGAAUACAUAGCAUAUCAGAAGGCACACCCGGAGAACUGAAACAUCUUAGUACCCGGAGGAAGAGAAAGAAAAUUCGAUUCCCUUAGUAGCGGCGAGCGAAACGGGAAGAGCCCAAACCAACAAGCUUGCUUGUUGGGGUUGUAGGACACUCUAUACGGAGUUACAAAGGACGACAUUAGACGAAUCAUCUGGAAAGAUGAAUCAAAGAAGGUAAUAAUCCUGUAGUCGAAAAUGUUGUCUCUCUUGAGUGGAUCCUGAGUACGACGGAACACGUGAAAUUCCGUCGGAAUCUGGGAGGACCAUCUCCUAAGGCUAAAUACUCUCUAGUGACCGAUAGUGAACCAGUACCGUGAGGGAAAGGUGAAAAGCACCCCGGAAGGGGAGUGAAAUAGAACCUGAAACCGUGUGCUUACAAGUAGUCAGAGCCCGUUAAUGGGUGAUGGCGUGCCUUUUGUAGAAUGAACCGGCGAGUUACGAUUUGAUGCAAGGUUAAGCAGUAAAUGUGGAGCCGUAGCGAAAGCGAGUCUGAAUAGGGCGUUUAGUAUUUGGUCGUAGACCCGAAACCAGGUGAUCUACCCUUGGUCAGGUUGAAGUUCAGGUAACACUGAAUGGAGGACCGAACCGACUUACGUUGAAAAGUGAGCGGAUGAACUGAGGGUAGCGGAGAAAUUCCAAUCGAACCUGGAAAUAGCUGGUUCUCUCCGAAAUAGCUUUAGGGCUAGCCUCAAGUGAUGAUUAUUGGAGGUAGAGCACUGUUUGGACGAGGGGCCCCUCUCGGGUUACCGAAUUCAGACAAACUCCGAAUGCCAAUUAAUUUAACUUGGGAGUCAGAACAUGGGUGAUAAGGUCCGUGUUCGAAAGGGAAACAGCCCAGACCACCAGCUAAGGUCCCAAAAUAUAUGUUAAGUGGAAAAGGAUGUGGCGUUGCCCAGACAACUAGGAUGUUGGCUUAGAAGCAGCCAUCAUUUAAAGAGUGCGUAAUAGCUCACUAGUCGAGUGACACUGCGCCGAAAAUGUACCGGGGCUAAACAUAUUACCGAAGCUGUGGAUUGUCCUUUGGACAAUGGUAGGAGAGCGUUCUAAGGGCGUUGAAGCAUGAUCGUAAGGACAUGUGGAGCGCUUAGAAGUGAGAAUGCCGGUGUGAGUAGCGAAAGACGGGUGAGAAUCCCGUCCACCGAUUGACUAAGGUUUCCAGAGGAAGGCUCGUCCGCUCUGGGUUAGUCGGGUCCUAAGCUGAGGCCGACAGGCGUAGGCGAUGGAUAACAGGUUGAUAUUCCUGUACCACCUAUAAUCGUUUUAAUCGAUGGGGGGACGCAGUAGGAUAGGCGAAGCGUGCGAUUGGAUUGCACGUCUAAGCAGUAAGGCUGAGUAUUAGGCAAAUCCGGUACUCGUUAAGGCUGAGCUGUGAUGGGGAGAAGACAUUGAGUCUUCGAGUCGUUGAUUUCACACUGCCGAGAAAAGCCUCUAGAUAGAAAAUAGGUGCCCGUACCGCAAACCGACACAGGUAGUCAAGAUGAGAAUUCUAAGGUGAGCGAGCGAACUCUCGUUAAGGAACUCGGCAAAAUGACCCCGUAACUUCGGGAGAAGGGGUGCUCUUUAGGGUUAACGCCCAGAAGAGCCGCAGUGAAUAGGCCCAAGCGACUGUUUAUCAAAAACACAGGUCUCUGCUAAACCGUAAGGUGAUGUAUAGGGGCUGACGCCUGCCCGGUGCUGGAAGGUUAAGAGGAGUGGUUAGCUUCUGCGAAGCUACGAAUCGAAGCCCCAGUAAACGGCGGCCGUAACUAUAACGGUCCUAAGGUAGCGAAAUUCCUUGUCGGGUAAGUUCCGACCCGCACGAAAGGCGUAACGAUUUGGGCACUGUCUCAACGAGAGACUCGGUGAAAUCAUAGUACCUGUGAAGAUGCAGGUUACCCGCGACAGGACGGAAAGACCCCGUGGAGCUUUACUGUAGCCUGAUAUUGAAAUUCGGCACAGCUUGUACAGGAUAGGUAGGAGCCUUUGAAACGUGAGCGCUAGCUUACGUGGAGGCGCUGGUGGGAUACUACCCUAGCUGUGUUGGCUUUCUAACCCGCACCACUUAUCGUGGUGGGAGACAGUGUCAGGCGGGCAGUUUGACUGGGGCGGUCGCCUCCUAAAAGGUAACGGAGGCGCUCAAAGGUUCCCUCAGAAUGGUUGGAAAUCAUUCAUAGAGUGUAAAGACAUAAGGGAGCUUGACUGCGAGACCUACAAGUCGAGCAGGGUCGAAAGACGGACUUAGUGAUCCGGUGGUUCCGCAUGGAAGGGCCAUCGCUCAACGGAUAAAAGCUACCCCGGGGAUAACAGGCUUAUCUCCCCCAAGAGUUCACAUCGACGGGGAGGUUUGGCACCUCGAUGUCGGCUCAUCGCAUCCUGGGGCUGUAGUCGGUCCCAAGGGUUGGGCUGUUCGCCCAUUAAAGCGGUACGCGAGCUGGGUUCAGAACGUCGUGAGACAGUUCGGUCCCUAUCCGUCGUGGGCGUAGGAAAUUUGAGAGGAGCUGUCCUUAGUACGAGAGGACCGGGAUGGACAUACCUCUGGUGUACCAGUUGUCGUGCCAACGGCAUAGCUGGGUAGCUAUGUGUGGACGGGAUAAGUGCUGAAAGCAUCUAAGCAUGAAGCCCCCCUCAAGAUGAGAUUUCCCAACUUCGGUUAUAAGAUCCCUCAAAGAUGAUGAGGUUAAUAGGUUCGAGGUGGAAGCAUGGUGACAUGUGGAGCUGACGAAUACUAAUCGAUCGAAGACUUAAUCAA
Molecule: ribosomal RNA, 2923 nt
Filed under: Staphylococcus aureus subsp. aureus RN4220
Lineage: Bacteria; Bacillati; Bacillota; Bacilli; Caryophanales; Staphylococcaceae
Description: 23S ribosomal RNA
Rfam family: Bacterial large subunit ribosomal RNA
Source: RNAcentral